CACAGUCUCACACACGUACAGGCUGAAGUGAAUGCAGAGAGAGAGGAGGGGAAAGCAGAGCACAAGCGAAAGAAGGUUAGCCAGCAGCGAGUGAAGAAAAUGGCGAUCACGCAGGAUGAAUGCCUCCCCUCGUAGAUGCUGCAAACGCGUUGAAUUUCUUUAGCCUUACAGUCGGCUUUCCUUUCCACUCUGUUGCACUUUAUACUUCAAUGAGAGAUUAGGAAUUGGAAGCUGUUGCCACCAAAGAAACUGAAGCAUCUUAACAGGGAACACACCCACAGAGGGAAGAACAGUGGAUGGAAGAGAGAGAGAGACGGAGAGUGUGACAAGGAAGGAGGAUAAGAAGAUACGGGACUGGACAAAAGGGAACUUUCAGUGAUUCCACGGAAGGCGAUGCCAUCGCUCAGGGCUUGGACUAACCGUUUGUAUUGAUUUGCCAUUGCAAAGGUAGUAGUUCUCUGUGAGUACUCAUUGUCUGUGUGAUUUAUCUGCUUCUGCCUCUUCUUAGAACUUCUGUUGGCACAGAGCUAUUUAUCUAUGAGCGAUGUGCCAUUAAAAACGGUCCAGGUCUCCAUGUGCAACAGGCCCAUUUCGCUAAGCACCAAAUGCAAUUAUACAUAGUAAGCAAGGAUAUGAUUAAUAUUGCAUAUCAACAGAAUGGUACUCCGGGUAGUAUGAAGGAUCACUGUAAGCUUAAAAUAGUCUCAUAACCCUUGGUGCUGCAGUUUUUGUUU
Amphiprion ocellaris (clown anemonefish) is the source of this 734-nucleotide long non-coding RNA. The record is from Ensembl. NCBI's taxonomy places the organism in Eukaryota, Metazoa, Chordata, Actinopteri, Pomacentridae.